This 3166-nucleotide ribosomal RNA is filed under the name Candidatus Woesearchaeota archaeon. RNAcentral describes it as "bacterial LSU rRNA". It matches the Rfam family "Archaeal large subunit ribosomal RNA". The record is from RNAcentral. Lineage: Archaea; Nanobdellati; Candidatus Woesearchaeota.
UUAAUGCUAUCAGGUGGAUGACUAGGCUCUAAAGCCGAUGAAGGACGUGACAAGCAACGCUAUGCUUCGGCGAGGCGCAUGUAGCCAUUGAACCGGAGCUUUCCGAAUGCGACUUCGCUUUUAGAUCCGAAAGGAUAGGGAACACAGGGAAUUGAAACGUCUUAGUACCUGUAGGAAAAGAAACCAAUAGGGAUGCUGUGAGUAAAGGCGAUCGAAAGCAGCAUAAGGCAAACAGACAUGGUGCAGAAAUGUAUCAUGGAUGAAGAGUUUGGACCGCUUUUAAGUCCUCGUUGUGCGACUCAAAGUCUCCUGGAAAGGAGCACCAUAGAGGGUGAUAGUCCCGUAGAGGAAGUGCAAAAGGACCUUAGCGUGUUCCAGAGUAGCGUCUAUUGGAGAUUAGGCGUGAAUGUGGGAGGCAUCAACUUCCAACCUUAAAUACUCUUAGAGUCCGAUAGCAAACGAGUACCGUGAGGGAAAGUUGAAAAGAACUUUUGACCGAGAGUUAAAAGAUCCUGAAACCUGGUAGCUAUGGUUUGAUAGGGCUUUUAGGAGUUCUAUCGUACGUUUCGAAUAACGUGCCAGGGAGUGUAUCUAUGUGGCGAGAAUAAUCUCUUACGGAGAGGAUUCAAAGAGAAAUCAAGUUCCCGCAGCUUUUUUUGCAAGGGGAAGGGUAUGAAAGUGCCUUUUAGUCACGUGGAUACUACCCGAAGCCGAGCGAACUAACCCUGGGUAAGGUGAAGUGUGGGUAAAACCACGCGGAGGCCUGCAGAGGUGCUACGGGCAAGUGCUCUUCUAACCUGGGGCUAGGGGUGAAAAGCCAAUCGAGCUCGGUGAUAGCUGGUUCCUGCCGAAGUUGGCCGCAGUCAAGCCCUAAGCGAGAUAGUUAGAAUGGUAGAGCUACGGAUUGGGAAUUUAGGGGGAGAAAUCCUUCGGUUUCCUGUCCAACUCAGAAUGUUCUAACAUUGUAGACCUUAGGAGACGGGGGCUCGGGGUAAGCUUGAGUCCCGAGAGGGGAACAACCCAGACUAUAGUUAAGGUCCCAAAAUGCUAGCUAAGUGUUAACGGGUGAAGAGUGUUCGUUGCCAUAGACAGCGAGGAGGUUGGCUUAGAAGCAGCCACCCUAUAAUAAGUGCGUAACAGCUUACUCGUCAAGGCCGCGAGCCUCGAAAAUGGACGGGGCUAAGUUAGCUACCGAUACUAUAGAUCUUGCAAAAGAUGGUAGGCAGGCGUUCUGUUAGAGUAGAAGUUUUCUCAAGAGAGGAAAUGCAUCUAGCAGAAAUGAGAAUCCUGGUGAUAGUAGGAUCUUAGCAGAGUGAGAAUCUCUGUCGCUGAAAGGGCAAGGGUUCCUUAACAAUGUCGUUCAGUUAAGGGUAAGUUAAUCCUAACCGCAGUCUUAGCUGACGUUGCGGGAAAGGGAAACAGGUUAAUAUUCCUGUACUACAACAGUAUAUGUGGCAACACAAGCCUUGUUUCUGACGGUUUGGGCUAGACCAACACUACUUGUCUAUAGUGUUAAUCAGAAUAAAUCAAGGGAGUAUCGUUAUGAUGAGAACUUGAUUAAAUCUGAGAAUAGCGUCUCUAUGAGGCGUUUGGUUGAUGCCUUAACCCCAUGAAAAAGGAAUGAGGAUAGAUCUGUUGUAAUUAUACCCAGAACCAGCACAGGUGCCCCUAGGUGAGAAGCCUAAAGCGUCAAGAGUUAAUCCGUUUGAGGGAAUUCGGCAAAUUAGCCUCGUGCCUUCGGCAUAAGGGGUUCCUGCUUUUGUGGGCUUAUGUUUGCGAAAGCAGGACGCAGUGACUAAGGAGGUCCGACUGUUUAACAAAAACUUAACUAACUGCUAGCCUGUAAAGGUUCGUACAGUUGGUGACGUCUGCCCAGUGUCUGUAUCUAAAAGACUGUUACAACGGUCCUAAGGACAGAUAAACGGCGGGAGUAACUAUAACUCUCUUAAGGUAAACACAAAGUUGCCUUAAUAAAAUCUGGCUAUAUGCUGGGAAGCCUCUGUAUCUUACGAUAGGCUACUAUGUUGGCAACAACAUAGCGACCCCUAAAAAUUCGUAAGUGGAGGUAAUCAGCAGGAAAGACUUCUCUAAGAGAAGAAUCCUCAGAGACUAUACGCCAGACACACUUAUCAAAACUCAAAGAAGUGUGAAGAUAUAGUCCGACCCACUAGGCGACUAGUGGAGGUGUGUAGAAAUACACACCCGCCUUCUAACGAAGGUCAGUAUCCUGACUAGUUCAGGAGAAAGUAACAGUUGUGAGCGAAAUGCCUUGCCGUUUGAAUGACGGCCUGCAUGAAUGGCGUAACGAGAUCUCCACUGUCCCCAGACGGAACUCUCCGAAAACUCUUUCCUGGUGCAAAGGCCAGGGAUCUCCAGUGGGAAGUUAAGACCCCGUGAAACUUUACUGUAGCUUGUUGUUGUGGUGUGAGUGUGGUUGUAUAGUGUAGAUGGGAGCUGCUUGAAGUCGUAGUCGCAAGAUUGCGAAUAGGCGUCAAUGUAACACCAUCCUUCUAUGUUUGCAUCGCUAACCGAGGGAAACCUUGGGACAGCAAUAGGUAGACAGUUUGGCUGGGGUGGCACACCGUUGAAAGCAUAUCAAUGGUGCCCAAAGGUUAGCUCAUCCGAGUCAGAAAUUCGGAGUAGAGUGCAAGAGCAAAAGCUAACCUGAUUGGAUCUUGAACAGUAAAAGAUCCAAACGUGAAAGCGUGGUCUAGCGAACCCCUAUAGCUUCUUGAUGAGGCUUAGGGCUGACCGAAAAGUUACUCCGGGGAUAACAGAGUUGUCGCGCCCGAGAGCUCAUACAUUCGCCAUAACUAAGCUCUGAAUAGUUAAGUUAUAGCGAAAAGAGUAUAUCGACGGCGCGGCUUGCUACAUCGAUGUCGGCUCUUCCUAUCCUGGAUGUGCAGCAGCAUCCAAGGGUGUGGGUGUUCACCAAUCAAAAGGGAUCGUGAGCUGGGUUCAGAACGCUGUGAGGCAGUUUGUUUAAUAUCUACUGGAGAUGUUUGAUGUCUGAGGGGAAGGAUCCUUUAGUACGAGAGGAACGAGGAUUCGAAGCCACUGGUCUACCGGUUAUCCGACAGGGUAAGCCGGGCAGCUACGCUUUAAGGGAUAAGUGCUGAAAGCAUCUAAGCACGAAACCCUCCUUAAAAAUAGACAUCAUAGGACU